UAGUGGAUUUGGCUAUCUUACCAGCUUAGGGAAAGUGCUGAUUGGUCCCUUCUCAGAUGACUCAAUAAUCGAAUUUGAUUGGGCUGGAUUAGCAUCUUCAUCAUCACUGCAACACGUGUCUUUGUAUGGAAUGCAUGACACGAAAUCUCUGCCACAUCAGCUUCAAGACUCGACUACCAUCACAUCACUAUCUCUACUUUACUUUGGAGCAAUCGAAGCCUUACCAGAUUGGCUUGGGAACCUUGCGUCUCUUGAUGAGCUAAUCCUAUUCAAUUGCCCAAAGCUUGAAUAUUUACCCUCCGUAGAUGCCAUGGAACGCCUCAAAUUAAGACGUCUGAAAAUUUGGUGGUGUCCUCUAUUAGAACGAAGAUGCACUCCUCGAAGCGGCUCCGAGUGGCCCAAGAUCUCUAAUAUUCCGGAGCGUGAAAUUGAUGUGGUAAGAUCUCAUCUCAAAAUUUUAAUUAAUUCCUUCUCAUUAUUGGAUCAUCUUAUUCUACCCCGUAUUUGUCCCUCACUCUCUUUCUCCAUAAAUAUCUAUUCCUCUACUUCUUCUGGCAAAAGAUUACUCUCUCUUUCAUGUCAUUAACAAAGUAGAGUUACGAGCAAAUUGAAAGAUAACAAAAUUGUGGAUUUCAUCUGCUUUUCUGAACCAUCCGAAGGAUGAACUUGGUAAACAUUCAGCUUCAAUGGGGUAUGUUAUUAUUUUUUUUGUCACUGAUAUUUCCAAACAACAUUAAAACCAAUGAAAUAGCAAUUUGGGGAGAACAUUACAAUUUUUGUUUUUACCGCUGGCAUUUAAUAGAUGGAUAUGUUCUUAAUAUUCACUGUUAUCUCUCUGUAAGACUCUGCAUUAUGAUUGCCAUUAAAUUAGGCUGCUGCUAAAACUAUAAAUUCUUAUCAUCUUUUAAAAUUUUUAAAAUUCAGAUACUAUAACUAGCUACUUUUCUAUUUUGUGAAUUGGAUUUUCUUAUCAUCAGGCUGUGGUUUCCAAUCAUUUUUGAAGAAAGAUGAGGAGGUAUGUGGUUUGGAAAUUUCUCCACCCAACUUACUAGAAGUACAAGGGAAUUGGUCCAAGUUUGCAAGUAUGUUUGAGACAUGGAAUUGUGCCUAAAUGCAGGUUGGUAUCUGCACUAGUAAGUGUUCUUUAUGGCUUAAUCAAUGGAAUAUAACUUGAUUUUUGCUCUUUAGGAUUUUGAGUGAUAAAUUGUUGCACGAGUUACCAGACCCAACCUUUCUAUGGCUCAUAUUUCUGCUUAAUGUCAUAACUGAAGCAGAACUGUGAUGUAAUAUUGUUAUUUUUUUUCCAGAAUUUGUUUAGGAAGCAGAGUACAUGUUUUUUGGACAAAGAACACCAACGUUCCCGUGUUGUUCUUAUGAGAAUGUCAGGAGGGAGGAGUUAUUUUCACUUAUCUGUCAGGUUUUGAAGAUGGAAGGUAGUUAUCUGUGAUUUUUCCCACUAGAAUGCCAUAUAUUGCUCAGAAUGUGGAAAUGAAGGUAAAAAAUGUUGACUGCAUGUCUAUUGGCCUGUUUCAAUGGCUUUUCGUUUUUGUUUUUUUUUUUAUCUAUUUUCUGGAAGUAUUUAACAAAAUAAAUCAAAUGUUGAACCUUUUCUCAUUGUAGCAUGCUGAAAACAGAGUGGCUUGUGCCAGGCUUGUAGAAAGCAGUAUGGAUUGAGAAGAAUUAGAGAAGAGCAUGGUAGCUGGUACUGGAGAGUUAUCAAGGUACAAGACUUGCUUGAAGAAAACUGGACGUGCUAAUACUUUAGUUUCAGAGGUGACAAGAUUUGAUGGAAAGAAGUUAGACAUUGUAGACAGCAUUGGUGAUCGUUUGGAUGACAUAAACGAAGCAUGCGAUUGCAGUGUCAGUCGUUCAUUUGGAUGGAAAUAGUUCAAAGUUUUGGUGUACUUUGGAGCAAUCGAAGCCUUACCAGAUUGGCUUGGGAACCUUGCGUCUCUUGAUGAGCUAAUCCUAUUCAAUUGCCCAAAGCUUGAAUAUUUACCCUCCGUAGAUGCCAUGGAACGCCUCAAAUUAAGACGUCUGAAAAUUUGGUGGUGUCCUCUAUUAGAACGAAGAUGCACUCCUCGAAGCGGCUCCGAGUGGCCCAAGAUCUCUAAUAUUCCGGAGCGUGAAAUUGAUGUGG
This 2140-nucleotide long non-coding RNA is filed under the name Coffea arabica (coffee). RNAcentral's name for it is "long non-coding RNA (CARA_LNC000014)". Lineage: Eukaryota; Viridiplantae; Streptophyta; Magnoliopsida; Gentianales; Rubiaceae. The record is from RNAcentral.